UUUAAUUAAAUAUAAAUGGACGAAAAUUAAUUAAAAAUUAAAAGUAUUGAUUUUUACAAAAAAAUUCUAACCUAAUGAUUAAUCAUCCCCCACGUGUCAACACCACACCCCUGCCUGGCAUCGUCAUCAUCAUUUUCAUUCCUAUAAAUAGGACUUCUAAAACCACCAAUGCACUCCCCUACACCUCUCUACCCUUGCCAAAAAAUCAAGAGAACAAAAAAAAAGCAAUAAGUUAGUAGUAGAGUAAGCACGUGAUAAAUAGUUUGGGUUUCACGUACAUAAGUACUUGAGUUUUGAAACCCUGUGUUUUAAAGUUCAACUAUUCUUGUAUACGAGGAACCUAGUUUCAUAGGUUUCCACAUAUCUAAUAACUAUAUAUUUAACUUUUACUUAUCUAUGUGUGCUAACACUAACUCUUAACACUACUAAGUAAUGUUCCUAUUUCAUCUUUCACUUCCUAAGCAUUGUAUUCUCAUACAGUCAAUCAUCAUUUAUGUUUAAUAAUUUUAUGUCAGUUAUCAUGUUUAUGUGUUCAGUGAACUUGCGAGCGUUGCAUGGAUCGAACCUCGUGGUUCGAUCGGAUCGUCUAGGGAUGGGUUUCAUAACGGGUAUUAGAGCCUGGUUAUUCUCAACUGUUUGAUCGAAGUUUAUGGUACUGAGGCGUCAUGAACCUCAAAGUGACCACUAUUUUCGGGAGCUUAGUGUAGUAACCAAAGUUUUUCUGGGUUCUCAAAUUUUUUGUCAUUUUCAUAGCUCGAUUUUUUCUUCGAAUUUUUGACCUUUUUCAUUAAUUAGAAUACACACUUCUAAACUCUUACCGAAUUGUCUAAAUUAUGAAUUAAUGGUCACAAGCAAAGAUGCUAUACCGAACCUAGAUAUUAAGCGUUGGUCAGAUUAACGGGUUGACAUGAUAUUUCAAACUCAAAAGCUAAGUUCUAUAAUUGGACCAGAUGAUAGGGGUUUCGAGCCCACUAAGUGUAUGAGAUUGGGGUCGGCUUGGGCCUGUUUCGAAUUUUAGAAUUUUAAUUAAAAAUAAAUGGACGAAAAUUAAUAAAAAAUUAAAAGUAUAUAUUUUUACAAAAAAAUUCUAACCUAAUGAUUAAUCAUCCCCCACGUGUCAACACCACACCCCUACCUUCCAUCGUCAUCAUCAUCAUCAUCAUCUUCAUUCCUAUAAAUAGGACUUCUAAAACCAAUAAUCACGGAACAAAAAAAACACUCCUAAAGUCCCCAACACAAACUUCAGUCACUAACUCUAAUCUCAAACUCUCCAACCCUCGAUAUCCCCUAAAGUUUUUCAAACUCCAAAAGUCAUUGACAUUCUCAAAGAGCUCUCUUUCAUUCCUCUCUUCAUUCUUCACCAAUGCACUGCCCUACACCUCUCUACCCUUGCCAAAGAACCAAAAGAACAAAAAAGAAAUAAGUUAGUAGUAAAGUAAGCACAUCAUAAAUAAUUUGGGUUUCACGUACAUAAGUACUUGAGUUUUGAAACCCUGUGUUUUAAAGUUCAACUAUUCUUGUAUACGAGGAAUCUAGUUUCAUAGGUUUCUACAUAUCUAAUAACUAUAUAUUUAACUUUUAUUUAUCUAUGUGUGCUAACACUAACUCUUAACACUACUAAGUAAUGUUCCUAUUUCAUCUUUCACUUCCUAAGCAUUGUAUUCUCAUACAGUCAAUCAUCAUUUAUGUUUAAUAAUUGUAUGUCAGUUAUAAUGUUUAUGUGUUGAGUGAGCUUGCGAGCAUUGUAUGGAUCGAAGCACGUGGUUCGAUUGGGUCGUCUAGGGGUGGGUUUCACAACAGACAUUAGAGAAUGGAUAUUAGAGCCUGAUUAUUCUCUAUUGUUUGAUCGAGGUUAUUGGUACUGAGGCGUCAUGAACCUCAAAGUGACCACUAUUUUAGGGUGCUUAGUGUAGUAACCAACGUUUUUCCGGGUUCUCAAUUUUUUUGUCAUUUUCGUAGCUCGAUUUUUUCUUCGAAUUUUUGACCUUUUUCAUUAAUUUGAAUACACACUUCUAAACUCUUACCGAAUUGUCUAAAUUAUGAAUUAACGGUCACAAGCAAAGAUGCUAUACCAAACCUAAAUAUUAAGCGUUGGUCAGAUUAACGGGUUGACAUGAUAUUUCAAACUUAAAAGCUAAGUUCUAUAAUUGGACUAGGUGAUAGGGGUUUCGAGCCCACCAAGUGAAUGAGAUUGGGUUUGGCUUGGGCCCGUUUCGAAUUUCAGAAUUUUAAUUAAAAAUAAAUGGACGAAAAUUAAUUAAAAAUUAAAAGUAUUGAUUUUUACAAAAAAAUUCUAACCUAAUGAUUAAUCAUCCUCACCAAUGCGCUGCCCUACACCUCUCUACCCUUGCCAAAAAACCAAG
RNAcentral lists this long non-coding RNA (2363 nucleotides) under Linum usitatissimum (flax). Its description in RNAcentral is "long non-coding RNA (LUSI_LNC007489)". Lineage: Eukaryota; Viridiplantae; Streptophyta; Magnoliopsida; Malpighiales; Linaceae. The record is from RNAcentral.